This 253-nucleotide ribosomal RNA is filed under the name uncultured bacterium. Its description in RNAcentral is "partial 16S ribosomal RNA". It matches the Rfam family "Bacterial small subunit ribosomal RNA", at positions 524 to 776 of the family's 1533-position model. The record is from RNAcentral.
UACGUAGGGGGCAAGCGUUGUCCGGAAUCAUUGGGCGUAAAGAGCGUGUAGGCGGCCCGGUAAGUCCGCUGUGAAAGUCGGGGGCUCAACCCUCGAAUGCCGGUGGAUACUGUCGGGCUAGAGUGCGGGAGAGGCGAGUGGAAUUCCUGGUGUAGCGGUGAAAUGCGCAGAUAUCAGGAGGAACACCGGUGGCGAAGGCGGGUCUCUGGGCCGAAACUGACGCUGAGGAGCGAAAGCGUGGGGAGCAAACAGG